This is a long non-coding RNA of Entelurus aequoreus (snake pipefish), 194 nucleotides long. RefSeq lists it as uncharacterized. The transcript has 2 exons. NCBI's taxonomy places the organism in Eukaryota, Metazoa, Chordata, Actinopteri, Syngnathiformes, Syngnathidae. The record is from RefSeq and is a predicted model, not a curated record.
UACAUCUUUGAGAAGUGUGUAUUUUGAAUCAAACUUUAUUGACCGGAAGUUACAUAAGCCAAGCAGAGAAAUCUCCGGUUCCAGCACGUACUUUAUGGUGGUUAUUUUCGAAGAAAAACUGCAUAUAUCCUUUGUUUAAGGUUGCAUCGCCGUUUCACCCUUUUGAAUGUCAUUAAACCUGCUGACAACGCUCA